AUCUGGUUGAUCCUGCCAGUAGUCAUACGCUCGUCUCAAAGAUUAAGCCAUGCAUGUGUAAGUAUAAAUAAUUCUACUUUGAAACUGCGAAUGGCUCAUUAUAUCAGUUAUAGUUUAUUAGAAAUAAUUUACUACUUGGAUAACCGUAGUAAUUCUAGGGCUAAUACAUGAGUAAAUCCUCGACUUUGAAGAGGUGUGUUUAUUAGUAUGAAAACCAUAUGCUUUUGCAUAAUAGUGAGUAAUAAUAACCUUUCAUAUCGUAUGUUGUAAUAACGAUAGUUCUUUCAAGUUUCUGCCCUAUCAGCUUUCGAUGGUAGUGCAUUGGACUACCAUGGCAGUAACGGGUAACGAAGAAUUUGGGUUCGAUUUCGGAGAGGGAGCCUGAGAGAUGGCUACCACAUCCAAGGAAGGCAGCAGGCGCGUAAAUUACCCAAUCCUGACAUAGGGAGGUAGUGACAAUAAAUCACAAUGCGGGACUUUUAGUUUUGCAAUUGGAUUGAGAACAAUGUAAAAGAGUUAUCGAUAAACAAUUGGAGGGCAAGUCUGGUGCCAGCAGCCGCGGUAAUCCAGCUCAAAGCGUUGUUGCAGUUAAAAAGCUC
RNAcentral lists this ribosomal RNA (599 nucleotides) under Blastocystis sp. RNAcentral's name for it is "SSU rRNA". It matches the Rfam family "Eukaryotic small subunit ribosomal RNA", at positions 1 to 629 of the family's 1831-position model. The record is from RNAcentral. Lineage: Eukaryota; Bigyra; Opalinata; Blastocystidae.